GCGAGUCACGUAGAAAUACGUGGCGAACGGCUCAGUAACACGUAGUCAACCUACUCUUAGAUGGAGGAUAAUCCCGCGAAAGUGGGGCUAAUACUCCAUAGUUGCCAGAUGCUGGAAUGCACUGGCAAUGAAAGCUCCGGCGUCUAAGAAUGGGACUGCGGCCUAUCAGGGUUGUAGUGAGUGUAAAGUACUCACUAGCCUAUAACGGGUAGGGGACAUGAGAGUGUGAGCCUCGAGAUGCCUUCUGAGACAUGAAGGCAGGUCCUACGGGACGCAGCAGGCGCGAAAACUUUACAAUGCCGGCAACGGCGAUAAGGGGACCUCGAGUGCCAGGUUACAAAUCUGGCUGUCGUGAUGCCUAAAAAGCAUUGCAUAGCAAGGGCCGGGCAAGCCUGGUGUCAGCCGCCGCGGUAAUACCAGCACCCCGAGUGGUCGGGACGAUUAUUGGGCCUAAAGCAUCCGUAGCCGGUUCUACAAGUCUUCCGUUAAAUCCAUCUGCUUAACAGAUGGGCUGCGGAGGAUACUAUGGAGCUAGGAGGCGGGAGAGGCAAGCGGUACUUAGUGGGUAGGGGUAAAAUCCGUUGAUCCACUGAAGACCACCAGUGGCGAAGGCGGCUUGCCAGAACGCGCUCGACGGUGAGGGAUGAAAGCUGGGGGAGCAAACCGGAUUAGAUACCCGGGUAGUCCCAGCUGUAAACGAUGCAGACUCGGUGAUGAAUAGGCUUCGUGCCUUUUCAGUGCCGAAGGGAAGCCGUUAAGUCUGCCGCCUGGGGAGUACGGUCGCAAGACUGAAACUUAAAGGAAUUGGCGG
RNAcentral lists this ribosomal RNA (811 nucleotides) under uncultured archaeon. Its description in RNAcentral is "bacterial SSU rRNA". It matches the Rfam family "Archaeal small subunit ribosomal RNA", at positions 53 to 871 of the family's 1478-position model. The record is from RNAcentral.